CGUUUUCGGCGCCCGUAGCUAACGCAUUAAGUGCCCCGCCUGGGGAGUACGGCCGCAAGGCUAAAACUCAAAGGAAUUGACGGGGGCCCGCACAAGCGGGCGGAGCAUGCGGAUUAAUUCGAUGCAACGCGAAGAACCUUACCAAGGCUUGACAUACACCGGACCGCCCUAGAGAUAGGGUUUCCCUUCGGGGCUGGUGUACAGGUGGUGCAUGGUUGUCGUCAGCUCGUGUCGUGAGAUGUUGGGUUAAGUCCCGCAACGAGCGCAACCCUUGUCCUAUGUUGCCAGCACGUAAUGGUGGGGACUCAUGGGAGACUGCCGGGGUCAACUCGGAGGAAGGUGGGGAUGACGUCAAAUCAUCAUGCCCCUUAUGUCUUGGGCUUCACGCAUGCUACAAUGGCCGGUACAGUGGGUUGCGAUACUGUGAGGUGGAGCUAAUCCCUAAAAGCCGGUCUCAGUUCGGAUCGAAGUCUGCAACUCGACUUCGUGAAGUUGGAGUCGCUAGUAAUCGCAGAUCAGCAAUGCUGCGGUGAAUACGUUCCCGGGCCUUGUACACACCGCCCGUCAAGGCACGAAAGUUGGUAACACCCGAAGCCGGUGGCCCAA
This 606-nucleotide ribosomal RNA is filed under the name Nesterenkonia lacusekhoensis. RNAcentral describes it as "bacterial SSU rRNA". It matches the Rfam family "Bacterial small subunit ribosomal RNA", at positions 834 to 1438 of the family's 1533-position model. The record is from RNAcentral. Lineage: Bacteria; Bacillati; Actinomycetota; Actinomycetes; Micrococcales; Micrococcaceae.